UACGGGGGGGGCAAGCGUUGUUCGGAAUUACUGGGCGUAAAGCGCGCGCAGGCGGCCCUUUAAGUCUACCCGUGAAAUGCCGGAGCUCAACUCCGUGCACGCCGGGGGAUACUGGGGGGCUGGAGACAGGUAGAGGCAAGCGGAAUUCCGGGUGUAGCGGUGGAAUGCGUAGAUAUCCGGAAGAACACCUGAGGCGAAGGCGGCUUGCUGGGCCUGAUCUGACGCUGAGGCGCGCAAGCGUGGGGAGCAAACAGG
Molecule: ribosomal RNA, 255 nt
Filed under: uncultured bacterium
Lineage: Bacteria
Description: partial 16S ribosomal RNA
Rfam family: Bacterial small subunit ribosomal RNA
Source: RNAcentral